GAAAGCCGUGUGCGGGAAAACUGCAUGCACGGUUUGAUGAGGGAGGGCAGGCGAAAACCUGUUCUCUACUCUAC
This is a non-coding RNA of Candidatus Accumulibacter, 74 nucleotides long. The record is from Rfam. Lineage: Bacteria; Pseudomonadati; Pseudomonadota; Betaproteobacteria.